Small nucleolar RNA from Dipodomys ordii (Ord's kangaroo rat), 137 nucleotides. Ensembl annotates it as small nucleolar RNA, H/ACA box 69. NCBI's taxonomy places the organism in Eukaryota, Metazoa, Chordata, Mammalia, Rodentia, Heteromyidae. The record is from Ensembl.
AAAGCAGGUUGCAAUUACAGUACUUCCUUCAUCUUGUGGAAGUAUUGCCAUUAUCCUGCUGAAAGAAAAAACAUGUUGAUUGUUUCUGAAUUUUGCCUUUCUGAAGGUAAAAUCAUAACAGCUUGACAUGGACAUUU